CGUGGACGUGGGCCGUCCACUGCGCAUGACACAGCGAGAAGUCCAUUGAACCUUAUCAUUUAGAGGAAGGAGAAGUCGUAACAAGGUUUCCGUAGGUGAACCUGCGGAAGGAUCAUUGUCGAGACACUUGGACGAUCAGUCGACCUUGCAAAACCAUGUGGGCCUUCGGCAGGUGUUGCGCUUGCACCAUUUGCACGAUUUUGGCCAUCCCAGAGAUUUAACAAGCAAGCUGGGUGCCAUAUGCACCAAGGGAUAUGUAACAUCGCUGGUAGAGUUGCUGUUGCUCAGCAAGUCUCUGGUAUGAUGGCUACUUGUAGCAUACGUUUUGACAUUUACAACUCUCGGCAACGGAUAUCUUGGCUCUCGCAUCGAUGAAGAACGCAGCGAAAUGUGAUAUGUGGUGUGAAUUGCAGAAUCCCGUGAACCAUUGAGUAUUUGAACGCAAGUUGCGCUCGAGGCAGCUAGCCGAGGGCGUGCCUGCCUGGGCGUCUUUCGAACGUUCGCUCCUCCUUGUAGAAGGCAAGCUAUGCAUUGCAUGCAUGCCGUCUUCACCGUGGAUGCGAUUGCUGGCCCCUCAUGCCGGAUGCAUGGUGGGUUAAAGACCGGGCGCCGGCCGACAAGCUCUUGGCAAUUUGUGGGUGGUGCAUUGGCUAAGCAUGGUUGAUGUCCGGAUCUAUUUGCCAGUGUGUAAGUCCGAAUUGCGGUCCCGAUAAACCCAUCUUUUUCACAUGGCCUUUCUCUAAUUGGCUAUGUGUCGCGACCUCAGGUCAGGUGCGGCCACCCGCUGAGUUUAAGCAUAUUAAUAAG
RNAcentral lists this ribosomal RNA (807 nucleotides) under Cleistesiopsis bifaria. RNAcentral's name for it is "eukaryotic LSU rRNA". The stretch from base 337 to 491 matches the Rfam family "5.8S ribosomal RNA". The record is from RNAcentral. Lineage: Eukaryota; Viridiplantae; Streptophyta; Magnoliopsida; Asparagales; Orchidaceae.